UGGGGAAUAUUGCACAAUGGGCGCAAGCCUGAUGCAGCCAUGCCGCGUGUAUGAAGAAGGCCUUCGGGUUGUAAAGUACUUUCAGCGGGGAGGAAGGGAGUAAAGUUAAUACCUUUGCUCAUUGACGUUACCCGCAGAAGAAGCACCGGCUAACUCCGUGCCAGCAGCCGCGGUAAUACGGAGGGUGCAAGCGUUAAUCGGAAUUACUGGGCGUAAAGCGCACGCAGGCGGUUUGUUAAGUCAGAUGUGAAAUCCCCGGGCUCAACCUGGGAACUGCAUCUGAUACUGGCAAGCUUGAGUCUCGUAGAGGGGGGUAGAAUUCCAGGUGUAGCGGUGAAAUGCGUAGAGAUCUGGCGGAAUACCGGUGGCGAAGGCGGCCCCCUGGACGAAGACUGACGCUCAGGUGCGAAAGCGUGGGGAGCAAACAGG
This 429-nucleotide ribosomal RNA is filed under the name Chloroflexota bacterium. Its description in RNAcentral is "Chloroflexi bacterium partial 16S ribosomal RNA". It matches the Rfam family "Bacterial small subunit ribosomal RNA", at positions 355 to 776 of the family's 1533-position model. Lineage: Bacteria; Bacillati; Chloroflexota. The record is from RNAcentral.